GGGUUGUGAGGUUAAGCGACUAAGCGUACACGGUGGAUGCCCUGGCAGUCAGAGGCGAUGAAGGACGUGCUAAUCUGCGAAAAGCGCCGGCGAGGUGAUAUGAACCUUUGACCCGGCGAUGUCCGAAUGGGGAAACCCAGUGUGAUUCGUCACACUAUCGUUAACUGAAUACAUAGGUUAACGAGGCGAACCGGGGGAACUGAAACAUCUAAGUACCCCGAGGAAAAGAAAUCAACCGAGAUUCCCCCAGUAGCGGCGAGCGAACGGGGAGCAGCCCAGAGUCUGAAUCAGCUUGUGUGUUAGUGGAAGCGUCUGGAAAGUCGCACGGUACAGGGUGACAGUCCCGUACACGAAAGCACACAGGCUGUGAACUCGAAGAGUAGGGCGGGACACGUGGUAUCCUGUCUGAAUAUGGGGGGACCAUCCUCCAAGGCUAAAUACUCCUGACUGACCGAUAGUGAACCAGUACCGUGAGGGAAAGGCGAAAAGAACCCCGGCGAGGGGAGUGAAAAAGAACCUGAAACCGUGUACGUACAAGCAGUGGGAGCACCUUCGUGGUGUGACUGCGUACCUUUUGUAUAAUGGGUCAGCGACUUAUAUUCUGUAGCAAGGUUAACCGUAUAGGGGAGCCGAAGGGAAACCGAGUCUUAACUGGGCGUUAAGUUGCAGGGUAUAGACCCGAAACCCGGUGAUCUAGCCAUGGGCAGGUUGAAGGUUGGGUAACACUAACUGGAGGACCGAACCGACUAAUGUUGAAAAAUUAGCGGAUGACUUGUGGCUGGGGGUGAAAGGCCAAUCAAACCGGGAGAUAGCUGGUUCUCCCCGAAAGCUAUUUAGGUAGCGCCUCGUGAACUCAUCUUCGGGGGUAGAGCACUGUUUCGGCUAGGGGGCCAUCCCGGCUUACCAACCCGAUGCAAACUACGAAUACCGAAGAAUGUUAUCACGGGAGACACACGGCGGGUGCUAACGUCCGUCGUGAAGAGGGAAACAACCCAGACCGCCAGCUAAGGUCCCAAAGUCAUGGUUAAGUGGGAAACGAUGUGGGAAGGCACAGACAGCCAGGAUGUUGGCUUAGAAGCAGCCAUCAUUUAAAGAAAGCGUAAUAGCUCACUGGUCGAGUCGGCCUGCGCGGAAGAUGUAACGGGGCUAAACCAUGCACCGAAGCUGCGGCAGCGACGCUUAUGCGUUGUUGGGUAGGGGAGCGUUCUGUAAGCCGUUGAAGGUGUGCUGUGAGGCAUGCUGGAGGUAUCAGAAGUGCGAAUGCUGACAUAAGUAACGAUAAAGCGGGUGAAAAGCCCGCUCGCCGGAAGACCAAGGGUUCCUGUCCAACGUUAAUCGGGGCAGGGUGAGUCGACCCCUAAGGCGAGGCCGAAAGGCGUAGUCGAUGGGAAACAGGUUAAUAUUCCUGUACUUGGUGUUACUGCGAAGGGGGGACGGAGAAGGCUAUGUUAGCCGGGCGACGGUUGUCCCGGUUUAAGCAUGUAGGCGGAGGUUCCAGGUAAAUCCGGUACCUUAUUAACGCUGAGGUGUGAUGACGAGGCACUACGGUGCUGAAGUAACAAAUGCCCUGCUUCCAGGAAAAGCCUCUAAGCAUCAGGUAACAUCAAAUCGUACCCCAAACCGACACAGGUGGUCAGGUAGAGAAUACCAAGGCGCUUGAGAGAACUCGGGUGAAGGAACUAGGCAAAAUGGUGCCGUAACUUCGGGAGAAGGCACGCUGAUAUGUAGGUGAAGCCCCUGCGGGUGGAGCUGAAAUCAGUCGAAGAUACCAGCUGGCUGCAACUGUUUAUUAAAAACACAGCACUGUGCAAACACGAAAGUGGACGUAUACGGUGUGACGCCUGCCCGGUGCCGGAAGGUUAAUUGAUGGGGUUAGCGGUAACGCGAAGCUCUUGAUCGAAGCCCCGGUAAACGGCGGCCGUAACUAUAACGGUCCUAAGGUAGCGAAAUUCCUUGUCGGGUAAGUUCCGACCUGCACGAAUGGCGUAAUGAUGGCCAGGCUGUCUCCACCCGAGACUCAGUGAAAUUGAACUCGCUGUGAAGAUGCAGUGUACCCGCGGCAAGACGGAAAGACCCCGUGAACCUUUACUAUAGCUUGACACUGAACACUGGUCCUUGAUGUGUAGGAUAGGUGGGAGGCUUUGAAGCGUGGACGCCAGUCUGCGUGGAGCCGUCCUUGAAAUACCACCCUUUAAUGGCUGGUGUUCUAACGUAGACCCGUGAUCCGGGUUGCGGACAGUGUCUGGUGGGUAGUUUGACUGGGGCGGUCUCCUCCCAAAGAGUAACGGAGGAGCACGAAGGUUAGCUAAUCCUGGUCGGACAUCAGGAGGUUAGUGCAAUGGCAUAAGCUAGCUUGACUGCGAGAGUGACGGCUCGAGCAGGUGCGAAAGCAGGUCAUAGUGAUCCGGUGGUUCUGAAUGGAAGGGCCAUCGCUCAACGGAUAAAAGGUACUCCGGGGAUAACAGGCUGAUACCGCCCAAGAGUUCAUAUCGACGGCGGUGUUUGGCACCUCGAUGUCGGCUCAUCACAUCCUGGGGCUGAAGUAGGUCCCAAGGGUAUGGCUGUUCGCCAUUUAAAGUGGUACGCGAGCUGGGUUUAGAACGUCGUGAGACAGUUCGGUCCCUAUCUGCCGUGGGCGCUGGAGAAUUGAGGGGGGCUGCUCCUAGUACGAGAGGACCGGAGUGGACGCAUCACUGGUGUUCGGGUUGUCAUGCCAAUGGCACUGCCCGGUAGCUAAAUGCGGAAAAGAUAAGUGCUGAAAGCAUCUAAGCACGAAACUUGCCCCGAGAUGAGUUCUCCCUGAGACUUUAAGUCUCCUGAAGGAACGUUAAAGACUAUGACGUUGAUAGGUCGGGUGUGUAAGCGCAGCGAUGCGUUGAGCUAACCGAUACUAAUGAACCGUGAGGCUUAACCUUACAACGCCGAAGGUGUUU
This 2933-nucleotide ribosomal RNA is filed under the name Enterobacter sp. N18-03635. RNAcentral's name for it is "23S ribosomal RNA". It matches the Rfam family "Bacterial large subunit ribosomal RNA". The record is from RNAcentral. Lineage: Bacteria; Pseudomonadati; Pseudomonadota; Gammaproteobacteria; Enterobacterales; Enterobacteriaceae.